This 397-nucleotide ribosomal RNA is filed under the name uncultured bacterium. RNAcentral's name for it is "bacterial SSU rRNA". It matches the Rfam family "Bacterial small subunit ribosomal RNA", at positions 29 to 411 of the family's 1533-position model. The record is from RNAcentral.
AACGAACGCUGGCGGCGUGCCUAAUACAUGCAAGUCGAACGAGAAAGUGGCUUCGGUCAUGAGUAAAGUGGCAGACGGGUGAGUAAUACAUAGGUAACCUACCUCCGAGAUGGGGAUAACCUUCCGAAGGAGGGCUAAUACCGAAUGAGACCACAGUUGCACAUGCAACAGGGGUUGAAGUGGCCUCUACUUGUAAGCUAUCGCUUGGAGAUGGGCUUAUGCACCAUCAGCUAGUUGGUAAGGUAACGGCUUACCAAGGCUUUGACGGUUAGCUGAGUCUGAGAGGUUUGAUCAGCCACACUGGAACUGAGACACGGUCCAGACUCCUACGGGAGCAGCAGUUGGGAAUCUUGGACAAUGGCGCAAGCCUGAUCCAGCCAUGCCGCGUGAGUGAAGA